GAUGAACGCUAGCGGCAGGCCUAAUACAUGCAAGACGAACGGUAAGUUGAGUAGCAAUACUUAGCCAAGAGUGUCGUACGGGUGCGUAACACGUAUGCAACCUACCCUAUACAGGAGGAUAGCCUAGGGAAACCUGGAUUAAACCCUUCAUAGUAUUAUUGGAUGGCAUCAUUUGAUAAUUAAAACUGAGGUGGUAUAGGAUGGGCAUGCGUCUGAUUAGUUAGUUGGCGGGGUAAUGGCCCACCAAGACGAUGAUCAGUAGGGGUUCUGAGAGGAAGAUCCCCCACACUGGCACUGAGAUACGGGCCAGACUCCUACGGGAGCAGCAGUAGGGAAUAUUGGUCAAUGGAUGCAAGUCUGAACCAGCCAUGCCGCGUGCAGGAAGAAGGCCUUCUGGGUUGUAAACUGCUUUUGCCAGGGGAUAAAAUUUCCAUGCGUGGAAAACUGAAGGUACCUGGUGAAUAAGCCACGGCUAACUACGUGCCAGCAGCCGCGGUAAU
Molecule: ribosomal RNA, 500 nt
Filed under: uncultured bacterium
Lineage: Bacteria
Description: bacterial SSU rRNA
Rfam family: Bacterial small subunit ribosomal RNA
Source: RNAcentral